GAUGAAGAACGCAGCGAAAUGCGAUACUUGGUGUGAAUUGCAGAAUCCCGUGAACCAUCGAGUCUUUGAACGCAAGUUGCGCCUCAAGCCAUUAGGUUGAGGGCACGUCUGCCUGGGCGUCACAUAUCGUUGCCUGAUGCCAGUUUCCUCGUGAUGGGUGACUGUGCAGGGCGAAUGAUGGCUUCCCGUGAGCAUUGUUGCCUCAUGGUUGGUUGAAAAUUGAGUCCUUGGUAGGGAGCGCCGUGAUAGAUGGUGGUUGAGUGACGAACGAGACCCAAUCAUGUGAGACCCCUACCGAAUUUGGCCUUCAUGACCCACAUGCGUCUUUGGAACGCUCAUGACGAGACCUCAGGUCAGGCGGGGCUACCCGUUGAGUUUAAGCAUAUCAAUAAGCGGAGGA
RNAcentral lists this unclassified non-coding RNA (400 nucleotides) under soil metagenome. RNAcentral describes it as "partial contains 5.8S ribosomal RNA, internal transcribed spacer 2, and large subunit ribosomal RNA". The stretch from base 1 to 122 matches the Rfam family "5.8S ribosomal RNA", at positions 35 to 154 of the family's 154-position model. The record is from RNAcentral.